This 241-nucleotide long non-coding RNA is filed under the name Lathyrus oleraceus (garden pea). Its description in RNAcentral is "Pisum sativum (pea) long non-coding RNA (PSAT_LNC013509)". Lineage: Eukaryota; Viridiplantae; Streptophyta; Magnoliopsida; Fabales; Fabaceae. The record is from RNAcentral.
GGUUUUGUGAGAUUACGUUGGUGGUUUAUAUAGAGAUGGUUGUGGUUGGGAAUUGAUGAAUGAAAUAAAUUUUAUUUAUGGUCUUCAAUGUCGUGGUCAAAGGAUGUGAGAAUGGUUGAAGAGUUUUAAUGGAGUGUCCAACAUGCAACGGACAUGGCGUUGAAAAGGGAUCAAGUGACAUUAGUACAACAUAGUGCAUGUGAACGGUAAUGUAGUGGUUGUUGCCACUUUUUAUGUGUGC